GAUGAACGCUAGCUACAGGCUUAACACAUGCAAGUCGAGGGGAAACGAUGAGAGAGCUUGCUCUCUUAGGCGUCGACCGGCGCACGGGUGAGUAACGCGUAUCCAACCUACCCAUUACAGGGGGAUAACCUUGCGAAAGUAAGACUAAUACCCCAUGGCAUUUUAUGGUGGCAUCAUUAUAGGAUUAAAGAUUUAUUGGUAAUGGAUGGGGAUGCGUCUGAUUAGCUUGUUGGCGGGGUAACGGCCCACCAAGGCAACGAUCAGUAGGGGUUCUGAGAGGAAGGUCCCCCACAUUGGAACUGAGACACGGUCCAAACUCCUACGGGAGGCAGCAGUGAGGAAGAUUGGUCAAUGGGCGAGAGCUUGAACCAGCCAAGUAGCGUGCAGGAUGACGGCCCUAUGGGUUGUAAACUGCUUUUAUAGGGGAAUAAAGUGAGCUACGUGUAGUUUAUUGCAUGUACCCUAUGAAUAAGGACCGGCUAAUUCCGUG
Molecule: ribosomal RNA, 490 nt
Filed under: uncultured bacterium
Lineage: Bacteria
Description: partial 16S ribosomal RNA
Rfam family: Bacterial small subunit ribosomal RNA
Source: RNAcentral